CCAACAGCCCUCUUUAGGGCUACCAUCAUGUUCCAAACCAAGUUG
Pristionchus pacificus is the source of this 45-nucleotide non-coding RNA. The record is from Rfam. NCBI's taxonomy places the organism in Eukaryota, Metazoa, Nematoda, Chromadorea, Rhabditida, Neodiplogasteridae.